RNAcentral lists this long non-coding RNA (378 nucleotides) under Nicotiana benthamiana. RNAcentral describes it as "long non-coding RNA (NBEN_LNC004438)". Lineage: Eukaryota; Viridiplantae; Streptophyta; Magnoliopsida; Solanales; Solanaceae. The record is from RNAcentral.
GGAAGGGAGAAAUUAUUGGUGAAGAGGUAGUGAUGGGGGUUAGAUGGUGUUAAUUUGGGUGAGUUUGGUGAUGACGCCACCACCGGAGAAACUGUGGUGACGCUAGGGUUCAGAGCUUUGAAUUGAUAUUUGAAUGGUUUCGGGUGGAUUUAGGAGAAACGGAGUGGGUAUCUGGGAUGAGGAUGUGGAGGAGAAGAGACGGUUAAUUUCACGGUGGUUGGACGCCGGCCAUCGCCGUAGGCGACUCCCGGUGCACGACAGGCGGUGGAUUAGGGCGGUAUUUUAUUGGGGUUCUCUGAGGUGAUGAGAGUCGGUGAUGGGGGGUUCUGAGAGACAAGAGGAGGGUCAUUUGGACACUUAUAUGUUUAGUGAACUUAG